This 497-nucleotide ribosomal RNA is filed under the name uncultured bacterium. RNAcentral describes it as "partial 16S ribosomal RNA". It matches the Rfam family "Bacterial small subunit ribosomal RNA", at positions 28 to 507 of the family's 1533-position model. The record is from RNAcentral.
GAUGAACGCUGGCGGCGUGCCUAAUACAUGCAAGUCGAGCGAACGGACGAGAAGCUUGCUUCUCUGAUGUUAGCGGCGGACGGGUGAGUAACACGUGGAUAACCUACCUAUAAGGCUGGGAUAACUUCGGGAAACCGGAGCUAAUACCGGAUAAUAUUUUGAACCGCAUGGCUCAAAAGUGAAAGACGGUCUUGCUGUCACUUAUAGAUGGAUCCGCGCUGCAUUAGCUAGUUGGUAAGGUAACGGCUUACCAAGGCAACGAUGCAUAGCCGACCUGAGAGGGUGAUCGGCCACACUGGAACUGAGACACGGUCCAGACUCCUACGGGAGGCAGCAGUAGGGAAUCUUCCGCAAUGGGCGAAAGCCUGACGGAGCAACGCCGCGUGAGUGAUGAAGGUCUUCGGAUCGUAAAACUCUGUUAUUAGGGAAGAACAUAUGUGUAAGUAACUGUGCACAUCUUGACGGUACCUAAUCAGAAAGCCACGGCUAACUACGUG